RNAcentral lists this ribosomal RNA (116 nucleotides) under Proteus mirabilis. The record is from RNAcentral. RNAcentral also lists the same sequence under 1 other name. Lineage: Bacteria; Pseudomonadati; Pseudomonadota; Gammaproteobacteria; Enterobacterales; Morganellaceae.
CUUGGCGGCCAUAGCGCGGUGGUCCCACCUGAUCCCAUGCCGAACUCAGAAGUGAAACGCCGUAGCGCCGAUGGUAGUGUGGGGUCUCCCCAUGUGAGAGUAGGGGACUGCCAAGC